CAGUAGCCGCGGGAAUACGGAGGGUGCAAGCGUUAUCCGGAUUUAUUGGGUUUAAAGGGUCCGUAGGCGGAUCUGUAAGUCAGUGGUGAAAUCUCACAGCUUAACUGUGAAACUGCCAUUGAUACUGCAGGUCUUGAGUAAAUUUGAAGUGGCUGGAAUAAGUAGUGUAGCGGUGAAAUGCAUAGAUAUUACUUAGAACACCAAUUGCGAAGGCAGCUUACUAAGGUAUGAUUGACGCUGAUGCACGAAAGCGUGGGGAUCAAACAGGAUUAGAUACCCCAGUAGUCCCUGUCUCUUAUAU
Molecule: ribosomal RNA, 301 nt
Filed under: uncultured bacterium
Lineage: Bacteria
Description: partial 16S ribosomal RNA
Rfam family: Bacterial small subunit ribosomal RNA
Source: RNAcentral